GUCGUAACAAGGUUUCCGUAGGUGAACCUGCGGAAGGAUCAUUAACGAGUUUUGAAAGGGGUUGUCGCUGGCCUUUCACGAGGCAUGUGCACACNCUGCUCAUCCACUCUCAACCUCUGUGCACUUAUUGUAGGUCGGUGGAAGGCUCGCAAGAGCUGGAAGCCUGCUUAUGUUUUACUACAAACGCUUCAGUUAUAGAAUGUUUACUUGCGUAUAACGCAUUUAUAUACAACUUUCAGCAACGGAUCUCUUGGCUCUCGCAUCGAUGAAGAACGCAGCGAAAUGCGAUAAGUAAUGUGAAUUGCAGAAUUCAGUGAAUCAUCGAAUCUUUGAACGCACCUUGCGCUCCCUGGUAUUCCGGGGAGCACGCCCGUUUGAGUGUCAUGGUAUUCUCAACCUUCCUCACUUUUGUGACUGGAAGGCUUGGAUGUGGAGGUCGUGCGGGCUCUCGCGAGUCGGCUCCUCUGAAAUGCAUUAGCGUGAACGUUUACGGAUCGCUAUCAGUGUGAUAAUUAUCUGCGCUGUUAGUGUUGAAGUAUUGCUUAGUGUCGCGCUUCUAACCGUCCUUCAGUUGGACAACUUAUCUGACAUCUGGCCUCAAAUCGGGCGGGACUACCCGCUGAACUUAAGCAUAU
RNAcentral lists this ribosomal RNA (635 nucleotides) under Hyphodermella rosae. RNAcentral describes it as "eukaryotic LSU rRNA". The stretch from base 231 to 384 matches the Rfam family "5.8S ribosomal RNA". The record is from RNAcentral. Lineage: Eukaryota; Fungi; Basidiomycota; Agaricomycetes; Polyporales; Phanerochaetaceae.